AGUGAACGCUGGCGGUAGGCCUAACACAUGCAAGUCGAGCGGCAGCACAGUAAUAGCUUGCUCUUACUGGUGGCGACUGGCGGACGGGUGCGGAAUACAUCUGCAUCUUCUUUUUCAUAGGGGAUUACGCAGGCGAACUUACGCUAAAACCCCCUACGACCUACGGGUGGGAGCCGGGGAUCUUCGGACCUUACUUGACUGUAUGAGCCGCGGUCGUAUUAGCUAGUUGGGGGGGUAAAGACGCACCAAGGCGACGAUACGUAGCAGGUCUGAGAGGAGGAUCAGCCACACUGGAACUGAGACACGGCCCAGACUCCUACGGGAGGCAGCAGUGGGGAAUAGUGGACAAGGGGCGGAAGCCUGAUCCAGACAUGCCGCGUGGGUGAAGAAGGGCUUCGGGUAGUAAAGCCCUUUUGUUGGGAAAGAAGAGCAGCAAGUUAAUACCCUGCUGUUCUGACGGUACCCAAAGAAUAAGCACCGGCUAACUUCGUG
Molecule: ribosomal RNA, 492 nt
Filed under: uncultured bacterium
Lineage: Bacteria
Description: partial 16S ribosomal RNA
Rfam family: Bacterial small subunit ribosomal RNA
Source: RNAcentral